Molecule: long non-coding RNA, 1913 nt
Filed under: Homo sapiens (human)
Lineage: Eukaryota; Metazoa; Chordata; Mammalia; Primates; Hominidae
Description: LHRI_LNC1773.1
Source: RNAcentral
GCUAGCUCCAGAUUCCAGCCCCUGGGGCAAUAACUUGUGAGGAUUUUCCUGGUGUUACAAAAAAUAUUGCUGUUAAAAAACUAAGACUCAAAACCAAAAGUUGUGAUUAAUAAUAACAGGAUUAUUAGUCAAUAAUAUUUUGAUUAAUACUAUAGAAUAGCAACAGUGAAUAUACCUCAAAUUGAAAACUUUUAGGUUGUGUUCUUGGCUCAUUCUCUCAUAACCUGGAUCUAAGUUGGAAAGCUGUGGCACCCUGUUUGGGUGUCCCAUCUACCCUGUUUUCUGUUUCUGCAGAUGGCUUGUUCAAGCUUCAUUUUAAGCCUGCUCUGUCUACUUAUCUUCCUUAUAUCCUAAUAGACUUCUCUUGUGUUAUUACACAUUUCUCUUUUGCUCUAAUAUUUCAUUAUUUUCCAGUUUGUCAGUACCGUUAUCAGAGGGACGAGGAAGGAAUAACACACCAGUUGACCAUUUUGUUUCUCUGAAAAUCUGAGCAAUACGGAGAUCCUUUUAUUAGUAAAACUGAAUCAUUACUCAUACUACAAGGGCUUUCACUUUUAAAAUGUAAUCCAUCAUUGCUUGCCAUUUUUAUGAAAACCAAAGUUGAAAAGUCUUCUGAAUCACAGGCUAUGUAUAGCCACACAUGCAUGACUUCAGGCUAGCAUAAAGACAUGUCUGCUCCUGAGCCUCUUCUUUUAAAGGGCAACCACUUGUAUACCCUCUGGUGGCCACUCCUCCUUCUCCACUCCAAGGCAGCCCUGGUACUUUCCUAAGUGGCCCCUCCUACAGAGCACUUGCCGGCAUUUGGCCUGCUGCUGGUGAAGACGCCCCUUACUAGCUUCAUAAAUGUUUUUCUGCAAGCAGGGAUCCCAGACACAUACUUUGGUUUCUAGUGUUUCAGUUACUAUGUUGUAUUUGAAAUUCUCAUUCCACAAUUACCCUUUAGUUGAAGUCCUGAAGUACAUGCCAUGUACUCCCCCUUUAUUUCUACCUUGAUCAAUGGCCUCUGCGGAGUGUAGUGAAAGACAUCUUUUUAUUAUGAUCUACACUUUAAAAAACCAAAGGCUGCCUGUAUUACAUUGCUUUGGGGAGUUGUUAAGACUCUGUUUUUUCUACUGCUUCACAUUAAACAAUAAUUUUGUUGAAUUUUGAAUUCUUAAAAUUCUCACUGACAAACAUUUUAGGUCAGUGUUGAGGAAAAUGUGUGAUGCAUGUUAGAGAGGUGAUGCAUUCUCCCUUAUGCAGGGACAUGGGUAUAUGUGUUACAUAUGCUGAUAUAUAACCCACCAUUCAUCCCAGGACCACAAGGGUAGCUGUAGAUAAACUGGUUAUCCUAAAAUCAUGAUUAUCAGUGUUGAUCUCUGCAACCAACAUUGCUUUAGGGAGUUGCUAGUCAUUACCCCUGCUACAAUAGAUAGUAUUUGUCAGUCUAAGUUACAGACAAAAAAUUCUAGGUUGACUGAUUAAGAAAGCCAUGUGUUUUAAUUUCCUUCAUGUUUUAAAAACAAUGGACGUAAGUGCAGAGAGACCUUUGAAAAUAUUAAGGGAAAUCUAUUUAAUCCUAUAGGUAUGUGAUGACUUGUUUUUUUGGAAAAAGGUAUUUGGAACAUCAAUCUGUAAUUAUCCAUUUUCCAUUCAUGCAUUCACUAAUUCAAUAUUUGAUAUGUGUCUGGGAGUGCUGGGAAUAACAUAAAUACAAAAAAAACCCUAAGAUAAUCAUUCACCAGAAGCUCAUAGAUAUAAUACAGUUAUAUAGCUAAAUGCAACCAGUUGUUUUUCCAAAUGUACUCAUCAUCUGUAAUAAAAGAAAAAUGAAGUAAAACAUCUGAAACCUUAACUUACUCAUGAGUUGCUACUUCCUUGGAGGCAACUGUAGAAGCAUUAAUAUAUGGUUCUUUGGGUUGGGUCAUACUGCC